GACGAACGCUGGCGGCGUGCCUAAUACAUGCAAGUAGAACGCUGAAGGAGGAGCUUGCUUCUCUGGAUGAGUUGCGAACGGGUGAGUAACGCGUAGGUAACCUGCCUGGUAGCGGGGGAUAACUAUUGGAAACGAUAGCUAAUACCGCAUAAGAGUAGAUGUUGCAUGACAUUUGCUUAAAAGGUGCAAUUGCAUCACUACCAGAUGGACCUGCGUUGUAUUAGCUAGUUGGUGGGGUAACGGCUCACCAAGGCGACUAUACAUAGCCGACCUGAGAGGGUGAUCGGCCACACUGGGACUGAGACACGGCCCAGACUCCUACGGGAGGCAGCAGAAGGGAAUCUUCGGCAAUGGACGGAAGUCUGACCGAGCAACGCCGAGUGAGUGAAGAAGGGUUUCGGAUCGUAAAGCUCUGUUGUAAGAGAAGAACGAGUGUGAGAGUGGAAAGUUCACACUGUGACGGUAUCUUACCAGAAAGGGACGGCUAACUACGUG
This 495-nucleotide ribosomal RNA is filed under the name uncultured bacterium. Its description in RNAcentral is "partial 16S ribosomal RNA". It matches the Rfam family "Bacterial small subunit ribosomal RNA", at positions 28 to 507 of the family's 1533-position model. The record is from RNAcentral.